CUGAAUGAUCAUCCUUGAUCUUCUCACCCUCAAACAACCGUGGAACCCAAGACGUGCUUCGGCGCCGUCGGCGCCGCCUUUAUGCUCAGACCAUGUCUUUUCUGUCUGAAGAAAAACCGAAAAUGUCA
Molecule: unclassified non-coding RNA, 128 nt
Filed under: uncultured Ascomycota
Lineage: Eukaryota; Fungi; Ascomycota
Description: sequence contains ITS1
Source: RNAcentral